GUUACUUCAGGCUCAUUAUAACCCACAUUCUAGCUAACACACACACACACACACAGAGGCAUCUUCAGCGCGAAGGAAGAUGGGAAUAUAGCUGUUCUCCUAGUUACGGUAACACGACUCAGGCAUCAGCAUACUAAUUACUUUGUUGCCUCCGUGAGGGCGCCUGUGGCUUUUAGGUGAGAGGGGAGUCGGGGCGCUGGACAAAUGAGAGCGGGGUCAGCGGGCGUAUCGCUACGGAUGUAAUGAAAGGAGCUGUAAUUCGUUCAUGGUGGCAGAAAAUUGUGUCGGAAACAGAAGGGAGAGAUAACGCCUUGCGCUGGCCUUUUCUUUUUUUUCCCCUCUUUCCAUCGCGGUGUAUUGAUUGGAGUGUGGUGGAAUGAGCAAAGGGCAAGUGUGAAAGCAUAUGCCAUUCAGGAGGAGAAGGAGCAUUUCAGGAUGUCAUGUCAUACCUACUCGGCUAUUUAUCUUGGUGGCUGUGUGGAGAUAACGUUCCGCAUUUUGUGCCGACGACGAUGAUGCUGCGGAGCGCGCCUGCCCACCCGCCCAGAUGUACGCAGYCAUCCAGCGUUGUGUCAGGAGUUUGGGUGUUUGUUUUUUUUUUCUUCUCCUUAAUCCUAAUGCUUUCAGAGGGACAUUUAUUAAUCUCUCUGUUUCAAAAGGAGAGCGACAAAGCCUUUCAGGUGAAUAAGCGAGGGAUUCCUCCGAGGGUAUCUCCAUGCACCCGCUCGACGAUUAGCCGAGACAACGCAGCAAAGCUAGCGGUUUUGUUGCCAACGCUGCAGAAGGUUGCACAAAGACRAGGCCCUGUUUCCCAUCCCUCACUCCCAACCUCCUCUGCUUCCAUAUUGCUCUUCAGCUUGUUAUCAGGUAUCGGUUUUGCCUACAGACGGCAUAUGAGAAGCUAUGUUAGUCGUUUUUGAGGCACAUGCCACCAUCCACCCAAAUGUCAUCUUUUGUGUUCAUCAUAACAAGAUGGUGACCCACCGCCUCACUGGUCCGUAGUUCUUUUCUUCAUAAGCUAUAAAAUAAAAUAAAAAAACGGAAGGACCCGUCGUGUGUUUGUGUGUUUGCCACUUGGUUAAAAGUGUGUGCGCGAGUUGAGAGCGUUUUCUGACUUUGAUCCUAAUGGAAGAUUUAUUCUCUCCUCCGCCGAUGUCUUGGCUGGCUUUACUAAACCAGCAUCUUUAAAUGCCGACCUUGUCACUUCAGCAUGUUGCCAGGCCAACCUCUUUGUUUGAUGUCUUGUUUCAAAGGCCCUGAAACACAAGCUGACACAGCCAAAGGAGGGGAGGCAAUUCAUUAAGAGUGCAUCCAACAGAGCUCGGUCUGCAGCGACAUGCUUGGGCUGAUUGUUGUAGAUCGUUUAUAUCUCAUUUCUUUGCUUGUUUGUCUAAUCUGUAAAUGUACUUGGAUUGCUCAAUAAAUGUAUUUACUCACGCAA
Molecule: long non-coding RNA, 1441 nt
Organism: Poecilia reticulata (guppy)
Lineage: Eukaryota; Metazoa; Chordata; Actinopteri; Cyprinodontiformes; Poeciliidae
Source: RefSeq, a predicted model, not a curated record